UACGUAGGGUGCGAGCGUUGUCCGGAAUUAUUGGGCGUAAAGAGCUCGUAGGCGGCUUGUCGCGUCGACUGUGAAAACCCGAGGCUCAACUUCGGGCUUGCAGUCGAUACGGGCAGGCUAGAGUUCGGUAGGGGAGACUGGAAUUCCUGGUGUAGCGGUGAAAUGCGCAGAUAUCAGGAGGAACACCGAUGGCGAAGGCAGGUCUCUGGGCCGAUACUGACGCUGAGGAGCGAAAGCGUGGGGAGCGAACAGG
Molecule: ribosomal RNA, 253 nt
Filed under: uncultured bacterium
Lineage: Bacteria
Description: partial 16S ribosomal RNA
Rfam family: Bacterial small subunit ribosomal RNA
Source: RNAcentral